CGAGGAACCUUACCUAGGCUAGAAUGCGCGUGACCGCCCCAGAGAUGGGGCUUCCCUUCGGGGCACAAAGCAAGGUGCUGCAUGGCCGUCGUCAGCUCGUGCCGUGAGGUGUUGGGUUAAGUCCCGCAACGAGCGCAACCCCUAUCUUCAGUUGCCAGCACAUCAUGGUGGGGACUCUGGAGAGACUGCCUCCGCAAGGAGCGAGGAAGGCGGGGACGACGUCAGGUCAUCAUGGCCCUUACGCCUAGGGCUACACACGUGCUACAAUGGCGCAUACAGAGGGUCGCUACCCGGUGACGGGGUGCCAAUCUCAAAAAGUGCGUCUCAGUUCGGAUCGGAGUCUGCAACUCGACUCCGUGAAGCCGGAAUCGCUAGUAAUCGCGUAUCAGCAACGACGCGGUGAAUACGUUCCCGGGCCUUGUACACACCGCCCGUCAAGCCAUGGAAGUCAGGGAGACCUGAAGCCGGUGACCGUCAAAGGAGCCGUCUAGGGUAAAACUGGUAACUGGGGCU
RNAcentral lists this ribosomal RNA (513 nucleotides) under uncultured bacterium. RNAcentral describes it as "bacterial SSU rRNA". It matches the Rfam family "Bacterial small subunit ribosomal RNA", at positions 962 to 1482 of the family's 1533-position model. The record is from RNAcentral.